GAAUAUACCGCAGGCAAAGGUCGUUGGCGGCCCGGAUGCCCCAACGACAAGGGGGGAAGCCCGGUGAAAGGCCGGCACUGCCCCGCAACUGUAUUCUCGGCGCAUAGCCGAGAGAGUCAGGUUACCCGCCUUUGCCGCUCCGGGGCU
This 147-nucleotide non-coding RNA is filed under the name Chloroflexota bacterium. The record is from RNAcentral. Lineage: Bacteria; Bacillati; Chloroflexota.